GACGAACGCUGGCGGCGUGCUUAACACAUGCAAGUCGAACGGAAAGGCCCUGCUUUUGUGGGGUGCUCGAGUGGCGAACGGGUGAGUAACACGUGAGUAACCUGCCCUUGACUUUGGGAUAACUUCAGGAAACUGGGGCUAAUACCGGAUAGGAGCUCCUGCUGCAUGGUGGGGGUUGGAAAGUUUCGGCGGUUGGGGAUGGACUCGCGGCUUAGCAGCUUGUUGGUGGGGUAGUGGCUUACCAAGGCUUUGACGGGUAGCCGGCCUGAGAGGGUGACCGGCCACAUUGGGACUGCGAUACGGCCCAGACUCCUACGGGAGGCAGCAGUGGGGAAUAUUGCACAAUGGGCGGAAGCCUGAUGCAGCAACGCCGCGUGCGGGAUGACGGCCUUCGGGUUGUAAACCGCUUUCGCCUGUGACGAAGCGUGAGUGACGGUAAUGGGUAAAGAAGCACCGGCUAACUACGUG
RNAcentral lists this ribosomal RNA (468 nucleotides) under uncultured bacterium. Its description in RNAcentral is "partial 16S ribosomal RNA". It matches the Rfam family "Bacterial small subunit ribosomal RNA", at positions 28 to 507 of the family's 1533-position model. The record is from RNAcentral.